AGUCACUCCCACUCACACUUGUCUUCAGCCCUCCUACUUUGAAGCCACCAGCAGAACAGGGAUUGCUCCGGACAGCCCCGUCUGUUGGCACAGGUGAUGGGCCAGCAGUGUCAGGGAAUUAGCACCCUCUGAGAGCGUCCCUCCCCCAGUGACUGAUGGGAAGUGAAGAGCGAUUACCUCUCCUCUCUCCCUGUUUGGGAUGCAGAGACUAAGGUGUGUGUCCA
Molecule: long non-coding RNA, 224 nt
Organism: Hyaena hyaena (striped hyena)
Lineage: Eukaryota; Metazoa; Chordata; Mammalia; Carnivora; Hyaenidae
Exons: 2
Source: RefSeq, a predicted model, not a curated record